Molecule: ribosomal RNA, 459 nt
Filed under: uncultured bacterium
Lineage: Bacteria
Description: partial 16S ribosomal RNA
Rfam family: Bacterial small subunit ribosomal RNA
Source: RNAcentral
CCUACGGGUGGCAGCAGUGAGGAAUAUUGGUCAAUGGGAGAGAUCCUGAACCAGCCAAGCCGCGUGAGGGAAGACGGCCCUAUGGGUUGUAAACCUCUUUUGUCGGAGAAUAAAACCCGGGACGUGUCCCGUUCUGCGUGUAUCCUAAGAAUAAGCAUCGGCUAACUCCGUGCCAGCAGCCGCGGUAAUCCGGAGGAUGCGAGCGUUAUCCGGAUUUAUUGGGUUUAAAGGGUGCGUGGGCGGUCCGUUAAGUCAGCGGUAAAAGUUCGGGGCUCAACCCCGUCGAGCCGUUGAAACUGGCAGACUUGAGUGGGGGAGAAGUAGGCGGAAUGCGCGGUGUAGCGGUGAAAUGCAUAGAUAUCGCGCAGAACUCCGAUUGCGAAGGCAGCGUACCGGAGCCAGACUGACGCUGAGGCACGAAAGCGUGGGGAUCGAACAGGAUUAGAUACCCGUGUAGUC